GACGAACGCUGGCGGCGUGCUUAACACAUGCAAGUCGAACGGAAAGGCCCUGCUUGCAGGGUACUCGAGUGGCGAACGGGUGAGUAACACGUGGGUGAUCUGCCCUGCACUUCGGGAUAAGCCUGGGAAACUGGGUCUAAUACCGGAUAUGAGCCAUUUUUAGUGUUAUGGUUGGAAAGUUUUUUCGGUGUAGGAUGAGCUCGCUGCCUAUCAGCUUGUUGGUGGGGUAAUGGCCUACCAAGGCGGCGACGGGUAGCCGGCCUGAGAGGGUGGACGGCCAAAUUGGGACUGAGAUACGGCCCAGACUCCUACGGGAGGCAGCAGUGGGGAAUAAUGCACAAUGGGCGCAAGCCUGAUGCAGCGACGCCGCGUGGGGGAUGACGGGCUUCGGGUUGUAAACUCCUUUCGCUAGGGACGAAGCUUUUUGUGACGGUACCUAGAUAAGAAGCACCGGCUAACUACGUG
RNAcentral lists this ribosomal RNA (465 nucleotides) under uncultured bacterium. RNAcentral's name for it is "partial 16S ribosomal RNA". It matches the Rfam family "Bacterial small subunit ribosomal RNA", at positions 28 to 507 of the family's 1533-position model. The record is from RNAcentral.